This is a long non-coding RNA of Micropterus salmoides (largemouth bass), 786 nucleotides long. RefSeq lists it as uncharacterized. The transcript has 3 exons. Lineage: Eukaryota; Metazoa; Chordata; Actinopteri; Centrarchiformes; Centrarchidae. The record is from RefSeq and is a predicted model, not a curated record.
UGCUACUAAUAAGCUAACAUUAGCUGGUCUGAAGUUCAGAAGGCCAGAGAUGCGGACAAGUUGGCGGACGAGGCUGAGGGCAGUGGGGCUGAAGACAGUAUAACAAGCGGAGUGGAAUGCGAGUCAGUCACACUAUGGCGAGCACUAAUGAAACAGCAGAACUGGAAGACCCGUUGCAGGUUCCUGUAGGUGGGCAGAUCCAGUCAGUAUUGUAUCACUACAUAUGAUUGAUUAGAGUCCCUGUCCUUUGCACCAACAAGCUGGAUGCCAACUGCCAUGAAACAAGCAGCAGCAGAAGCAAUAUCGUGGCAGACCAUCAGGAGUGGCUGCACCGUAGCAUCAAUGUGACCACGGGCCCUCACUCCCCCGGGCAAACCCUCACGUUCCCACCAGGUUGCCUUUCCCCUAACAUCAGGCAGGGUGGCCGUGGCCUCAAACUGUUUUAGCUCCCUACAGAGUGCACCAUCUAUCACAUGCUCCAUAAACUGAUCCCGCAGCACAACUUCUGCAUUUAACAUGCCACUAGGUACACACCGUUUUACAGCCUCCAUCCAGUUCAUUAAAGCGUCUGUCCUUCUUGCCCUGACUGACAGGGGCCCCAAAAAAUAAUUAUAAACUACUAUCAAAUUAUAUUAUAUUAUACAUUAUAUAAACCAUCAUCAUUGAGUAUAAAUAUAUUUCAAAUAUAAUAAUAAAAUGAAUGAUCUCUUUGUUUUUUCUUGUUUUUGGCAGUAAAAGUUAAAAAUCCCCAUUGACAAAAAAGUAAACCUCCAUAUUGACCGACCA